RNAcentral lists this ribosomal RNA (404 nucleotides) under uncultured bacterium. Its description in RNAcentral is "bacterial SSU rRNA". It matches the Rfam family "Bacterial small subunit ribosomal RNA", at positions 355 to 776 of the family's 1533-position model. The record is from RNAcentral.
UGGGGAAUAUUGGACAAUGGGCGCAAGCCUGAUCCAGCCAUGCCGCGUGAAUGAUGAAGGCCUUAGGGUUGUAAAAUUCUUUCAACGGUGAAGAUAAUGACGGUAACCGUAGAAGAAGCCCCGGCUAACUUCGUGCCAGCAGCCGCGGUAAUACGAAGGGGGCUAGCGUUGUUCGGAAUUACUGGGCGUAAAGCGCACGUAGGCGGGCUGAUUAGUUGGUGGUGAAAUCCCAGAGCUCAACUCUGGAACUGCCAUCAAUACUGUCAGCCUGGAGCAUAGUAGAGGUUAGUGGAAUUCCAAGUGUAGAGGUGAAAUUCGUAGAUAUUUGGAGGAACACCAGUGGCGAAGGCGACUGACUGGGCUAUUGCUGACGCUGAGGUGCGAAAGCGUGGGGAGCAAACAGG